AGCUCUCCGAGUGGUGUGGACGUUUAUUGGGCCUAAAGCAUCCGUAGCUGGCUGAACAAGUCCCCUGUUAAACCCACCGAUUUAAUCGUUGGUCUGCGGGGGAUACUGCUCGGCUAGGGGACGAGAGAGGCAGACGGUAUUCCCGGGGUAGGGGUGAAAUCCUAUAAUCCCGAGAAGACCACCAGUGGCAAAGGCUGUCUGCUAGAACGCGCCCGACGGUGAGGGAUGAAAGCUGGGGGAGCGAACC
RNAcentral lists this ribosomal RNA (247 nucleotides) under uncultured crenarchaeote. RNAcentral's name for it is "partial 16S ribosomal RNA". It matches the Rfam family "Archaeal small subunit ribosomal RNA", at positions 478 to 725 of the family's 1478-position model. Lineage: Archaea; Thermoproteati; Thermoproteota. The record is from RNAcentral.